This 99-nucleotide non-coding RNA is filed under the name Streptomyces afghaniensis 772. RNAcentral describes it as "Bacterial large subunit ribosomal RNA". It matches the Rfam family "Bacterial large subunit ribosomal RNA", at positions 1 to 99 of the family's 2925-position model. The record is from Rfam by way of RNAcentral. Lineage: Bacteria; Bacillati; Actinomycetota; Actinomycetes; Kitasatosporales; Streptomycetaceae.
GGCCAAGUUUUUAAGGGCGCACGGUGGAUGCCUUGGCACCAGGAACCGAUGAAGGACGUGGGAGGCCACGAUACGUCCCGGGAGUCGUCAACCAGGCUU